This 253-nucleotide ribosomal RNA is filed under the name uncultured bacterium. RNAcentral's name for it is "partial 16S ribosomal RNA". It matches the Rfam family "Bacterial small subunit ribosomal RNA", at positions 524 to 776 of the family's 1533-position model. The record is from RNAcentral.
GACGGAGGAUGCAAGCGUUGUCCGGAAUGAUUGGGCGUAAAGCCUCCGCAGGUGGCAGUUCAAGUCUGCUGUCAAAGACCGGGGCUCAACCUCGGAAAGGCAGUGGAGACUGAACAGCUAGAGUAUGGUAGGGGCAGAGGGAAUUCCUGGUGUAGCGGUGAAAUGCGUAGAGAUCAGGAAGAACAUCGGUGGCGAAGGCGCUCUGCUGGACCAUAACUGACACUCAGGGACGAAAGCGUGGGUAGCGAACAGG